RNAcentral lists this ribosomal RNA (424 nucleotides) under Verrucomicrobiota bacterium. RNAcentral describes it as "Verrucomicrobia bacterium partial 16S ribosomal RNA". It matches the Rfam family "Bacterial small subunit ribosomal RNA", at positions 355 to 776 of the family's 1533-position model. Lineage: Bacteria; Pseudomonadati; Verrucomicrobiota. The record is from RNAcentral.
UGAGGAAUAUUGGUCAAUGGGCGAGAGCCUGAACCAGCCAAGUAGCGUGCAGGAUGACGGCCCUAUGGGUUGUAAACUGCUUUUAUAUGGGAAUAAAGUGAGGAACGUGUCCCUUAUUGCAUGUACCAUACGAAUAAGGACCGGCUAAUUCCGUGCCAGCAGCCGCGGUAAUACGGAAGGUCCAGGCGUUAUCCGGAUUUAUUGGGUUUAAAGGGAGCGUAGGCUGUUUGUUAAGCGUGUUGUGAAAUGUAGGAGCUCAACUUUUAGAUUGCAGCGCGAACUGGCAGACUUGAGUGCGCACAACGUAGGCGGAAUUCAUGGUGUAGCGGUGAAAUGCUUAGAUAUCAUGACGAACUCCGAUUGCGAAGGCAGCUUACGGGAGCGCAACUGACGCUAAAGCUCGAAGGUGCGGGUAUCGAACAGG